Ochotona curzoniae (black-lipped pika) is the source of this 1195-nucleotide long non-coding RNA. RefSeq lists it as uncharacterized. The transcript has 3 exons. The record is from RefSeq and is a predicted model, not a curated record. Lineage: Eukaryota; Metazoa; Chordata; Mammalia; Lagomorpha; Ochotonidae.
GCCUAUGGAACGAGAAGGGGGUGGGGCCGAGGGCUUACACUUGAGCGAUGAAUAGGCAUGACCCCGCAGGGUCUGGUCUCUGGAGAAGGCAGAAGGGGUGGAGACGGUAGAAGCCAGAGGGGGCGGCCCGUGCUCAGGGUGGGAGCAGCGUGGCUGUCUCGUGACCCCUUGCCCUGACCCUUGAAGGGUUCAGGCUGGUGUCUUGGAGGGAGGCGGGGCGGCGCCAGCAGGAGGUGGGCAGUGUGGUGCGUGUCUGACUCGCCCUUACCCUGUGUGUGCCAGUGUGUGACCUGGAGGUGGUUGCUGUCAGAUUCACCUCCAACGCCUUGGCUGCCCGGUGGUGGUGCAGGCUUGAUGACUUUGCCUAGCAGCCUCCCCUCCUUUCUGGUCCUAAUACCCAGGAUUUCCGCUGGGCACCCUUUUUCUACAGGCUUCUGGUCCCUGCUUUGUACUCAGGGCGUACCUGGGCUGCCCGAGGUGGCGCCUCUCCCAGGGGAGCCUGGGAUCCCAUACCUGAGUACUAGUGUGGGCUCAGCACCCAGGCACAAGCAGCCAAGAAAGCUGCUCGUCUCUGGCCUCGGCCAUUAUUCCAAAGUGUUACUGGUUUGACUGAGGCAAGCUUGGGAGUUCCUUGGAAGGAAGAGCUGUUGGCCUACCGGCCCUGGCCUUGGGAGGUGGUGGAGUGGAGCUGCUGGCGGCCAUCACGGCGUCCGCGGAGCUGGAGUGGAACGUGCAGACGCGGCUGGGAUCUGGGACGGGUCGGCGUCGAGUCAGGCACACUCGGCAGGACAGAGAGAAUGGCCAUUGUCAGUCGUAUCUGUCAGCCUGCUCCCAGAGGAAGCAAUCAAAGCAACUGUGAUCAGUGACCUUGCCCUUGACUGAAUCUAGACUCUGUGUCCAAGUCCAUGCAUGUCGUCAUGAAGCAAGUGCUUAAUUCAAAAGCAGUGAGGCAAGCAAGGACUCGUCCCACUUAUCCACAGAGCGCAGUCCAGCUCAGAAGUGGCUGCCCUGACUCGUCACACCAGCGGAGUUGGAGAGAUCUGCUCUCCCUGCAUCCCUGCCAGCACUUGGCACUCUCCCUGAACGUCAGCGGCAUGAAUGGACUCGAUCAUGUUGCCUUGUCGUGUUGUUUGCGUCCGUUACUCGAAGGUACGGUAGGUAGGGCUGACACCUUUUUUGGACUUUUUUGCUCUCU